GUCGCCGAGGGGUGCUGCAGCGGACCUCCGUCCGCCACGCUCGGCAUGCGACUCCAUCGCAAGGGCGCCCUUUCCAC
RNAcentral lists this non-coding RNA (77 nucleotides) under Rhodanobacter spathiphylli. RNAcentral describes it as "Rhodanobacter sp. SAH sequence". It matches the Rfam family "SAH (S-adenosyl-L-homocysteine) riboswitch aptamer". The record is from RNAcentral. Lineage: Bacteria; Pseudomonadati; Pseudomonadota; Gammaproteobacteria; Lysobacterales; Rhodanobacteraceae.